RNAcentral lists this ribosomal RNA (264 nucleotides) under uncultured bacterium. RNAcentral's name for it is "partial 16S ribosomal RNA". It matches the Rfam family "Bacterial small subunit ribosomal RNA", at positions 793 to 1055 of the family's 1533-position model. The record is from RNAcentral.
GUCCACGCUGUAAACGAUGUCUGCUAGCCGUUGGGAUCCUUGAGGUCUCGGUGGCGCAGCUAACGCGAUAAGCAGACCGCCUGGGGAGUACUGCCGCAAGGUUAAAACUCAAAUGAAUUGACGGGGGCCCGCACAAGCGGUGGAGCAUGUGGUUUAAUUCGAUGCAACGCGAAGAACCUUACCACCCCUUGACAUCCAGAGAACUGUCCAGAGAUGGACGGGUGCCUUUCGGGAACUCUGAGACAGGUGCUGCAUGGCUGUCGU